GGAUGUGAGGGCGAUCUGGCUGCAACAUCUGUCACCCCAUUGAUCGCCACUGUUGAUUUGGCUGAUCUGGCUGGUAUCCCCUUCCUCCCUCAGCACUCCAUGUGUGUGCCUCCCAAAGCCGUGCGCUCGGUCGAAGAGGACGACCAUCCCUGAUGGUCUUCGGUCAAGGGUGUAGGAGUAGCUGUGCUCCCCUGCUAGAACCUCCAAACAGCUCUCAAGAAAAAUGUUUCUACAGUCCAGAGUCUUUUAUUUUCUUGCAUCCAUAAGCCUUGCAUUCAUGGGGACUAGGUUCCAACAGCU
RNAcentral lists this small nuclear RNA (300 nucleotides) under Castor canadensis (American beaver). RNAcentral describes it as "7SK RNA (ENSCCNG00000031274.1)". It matches the Rfam family "7SK RNA". Rfam says of the family: 7SK was discovered as an abundant small nuclear RNA in the mid-70s but a possible function has only recently been suggested. Lineage: Eukaryota; Metazoa; Chordata; Mammalia; Rodentia; Castoridae. The record is from Rfam by way of RNAcentral.